This 1465-nucleotide long non-coding RNA is filed under the name Lynx pardinus (Iberian lynx). Lineage: Eukaryota; Metazoa; Chordata; Mammalia; Carnivora; Felidae. The record is from RNAcentral.
CUACCUUAAAACUGCAGGCUUGGGGCUGGGGUAGUUUUGAGGGAAGGGGGAGAAAACCAGUUUGAUCCCUUUGGGAGAUUACUAUACUUUUAUAACUCAAGCAGAUGCUUGGAAUGCAAACCAUGUGCGAUGUGAAUGGUCUGAGAGCCAGUGACCAAGUCUGUGCUCACUGAGCUCUUUUACCUCUCGGACAGGACUUGAGUUGGGGAACUUGAUAUUGUACAAAUGAUCUGUUGGCCAGUGUUUCAUUCAUGCUGCCCACUGUAUCCUUGUAAUGUGAUCUGGGCCACGGCAGAUGGUAUGGGAUAGAAGAAGGACAUGCAGAGAGAGCCCUCUGAAAUGAACACUACCCACCGGUGGGUGUGGCAGAGCAUUGUCUGUACAUGAGAGUCUGAAUGUCGUUCUCGCCUUCUCACCUUUACCAGGUUACUCCCUCCCUCUGAGGGUCAUCUGUGAGUGGAAAACACAGUUCUGUACCUAGAAGCCUGAGAGUGUCUGGGGCUACAAGGGUUAACAAGCAUAAUUGCAAAGAUUGUCCGAAGGCUGAUGGAAAGCAGAGACUGAAUGGGAUUGAGAACAGAUGCGAGGCUUGAUUUAAAUUACAUUUUAUUGGAUGCUGCAGCCUUAAGAGACGUGACUGCUUUACAGUUUGUUUCCACACUGUGGGCAGCUGCUGUCUGUUCUGUGUCCACAGUAGGAUCCUGCCCAAAAAGGAGCGGCCUCCCCACCUCGUUGUGUUUGAGGCUUGGCGCCUUUCUCUUAACUGUAGGGCUUGAGUCAGGAACAUGGCUUGACUCGCAGUGGGGCUGCUAUGUAUCCUCCAUGGCUCUGAGCCAAGAUUGCAUUUGCAGAUUCAAAAGGGCGAAAUUUCUUUCCCCUCUACCUCUUUUCUCUCCCUUUCCCCUGGUAUUUGGAAAUAGGGUUUUUUGUGUACUGGUUUGUUAGUUUCCUUUCCUUCAGUUCUCCCCCCACUGUCAAUUUCUAGGUCAUUGCUGCUCUUAAGACUUCAGCAAUUGGAACAGGGUUGGUUCUGUCAAUGAUGCGUGAAGCAGACUUAGAGUCCCUGCUUGGCUUCCACUGCCCUUGUGGGAGCAAAAGCUGAUGUAUGUUUGUCAGUGAAGUCUUAAGUGUAAUUCAGACAGCCAGAGAGCAGACUGAGAGGAGGAAGAAAGUGCUUUUCUUACUGGCGUUUCUCACUGAAGCUGAGAGCUAUGGGAAGGUAGUGGGAUUUUUAGAGGGAUGGGCCGGACUUGUGGUUACUAGUUUUUGCCAGGAUUGUAGCCUGUUUCACAUAGAGUAGUGGCAAAGAUGCUGACCUACAUUCUUCCUCUUGAAGGUGGUGGGGUGUGUGUCUAUAUCCUGAUUUAUAUUUCUUCACAGAAGCAGAUUAAGCUUCCGUAGAGUGUUGAUGGGUAUUGCCAUGGAAAGAACAUAGACACAAUAAAAUUGGUGUGUUUCAACCCCA